CCUACGGGCGGCAGCAGUGGGGAAUAUUGCACAAUGGGGGAAACCCUGAUGCAGCGACGCCGCGUGUGUGAAGACGGUCCUCUGGUUUGUAAACAACUGUCCCCAGGGGCGAAAAUUUCGGUACCUGAGGAGGAAGCUCCGGCUAAACACGCGCAAGCAGCCGCGGUAAUACGUGGGGAGCGAGCGUUGUCCGUAUUUACGGGGGGAAAGGGGAGCGGAGUGGGGGAUGAAAGUGGGGUGGAAAACCUACCGUCUAAACUGGUGGUCGAACUCGAAACUGCAGCUCUUGAGUGAAGUAGAGGGAGGUGGAAUUCCUAGUGUAGCGGUGAAAUGCGUAGAGAUUAGGAGGAACACCAGUGGCGAAGGCGGCCCGCUGGGC
RNAcentral lists this ribosomal RNA (379 nucleotides) under uncultured bacterium. RNAcentral's name for it is "partial 16S ribosomal RNA". It matches the Rfam family "Bacterial small subunit ribosomal RNA", at positions 338 to 734 of the family's 1533-position model. The record is from RNAcentral.